UGUUUCCGCAUCAGUCGACAUCGUGUCAUACACAUGAGCUUUGGCAAAAUUUUUUGCGCCGACAUCGCGGAUCAUGUCCUCCAAUUUGUCUUCAUCCGGUCUAUCUUCUUCCAUGGUGGAGUCAGUAACAUUUUCAGUUUGCGAGUCAGUCGGAAAGUACAUUUCUUCGCCGUGCCAUAUCCAUGUUGUAUAACAUCUUAGGAAACCAUCACAAAUAAGAUGUUCUCUAUUUUGGGUUGCGUUCAACUUUCUCCCAUUCAAACAGUUCACACAAGGACAUCUAAACUUCACUUCAUCGUCACUUCUCCCCUCAUUACGUUGCGCAAAUUGUAUAAAUUCCUCUACACCUCUCUCGU
Molecule: long non-coding RNA, 356 nt
Filed under: Vigna radiata
Lineage: Eukaryota; Viridiplantae; Streptophyta; Magnoliopsida; Fabales; Fabaceae
Description: long non-coding RNA (VRAD_LNC013194)
Source: RNAcentral